RNAcentral lists this ribosomal RNA (329 nucleotides) under uncultured bacterium. Its description in RNAcentral is "bacterial SSU rRNA". It matches the Rfam family "Bacterial small subunit ribosomal RNA", at positions 568 to 898 of the family's 1533-position model. The record is from RNAcentral.
CACGCAGGCGGAUUGAUAAGUCAGGGGUGAAAUCCCGGGGCUCAACCUCGGAAUUGCCUUUGAUACUGUCUGUCUUGAGUUCGGGAGAGGUUGGCGGAAUUCCUAGUGUAGAGGUGAAAUUCGUAGAUAUUAGGAAGAACACCAGUGGCGAAGGCGGCCAACUGGCCCGAUACUGACGCUCAUGUGCGAAAGCGUGGGGAGCAAACAGGAUUAGAUACCCUGGUAGUCCACGCCGUAAACUAUGGAUGCUAGCCGUUGGGGAGCUUGCUCUUCAGUGGCGCAGCUAACGUCUUAAGCAUCCCGCCUGGGGAUACGGUCGCAAGAUUAAA